This 253-nucleotide ribosomal RNA is filed under the name uncultured bacterium. RNAcentral's name for it is "partial 16S ribosomal RNA". It matches the Rfam family "Bacterial small subunit ribosomal RNA", at positions 524 to 776 of the family's 1533-position model. The record is from RNAcentral.
UACGUAGGGCGCAAGCGUUGUCCGGAAUUAUUGGGCGUAAAGAGCUCGUAGGCGGCUUGUCACGUCGAUUGUGAAAGCCCGAGGCUUAACCUCGGGUCUGCAGUCGAUACGGGCUAGCUAGAGUGUGGUAGGGGAGAUCGGAAUUCCUGGUGUAGCGGUGAAAUGCGUAGAUAUCAGGAGGAACACCGGUGGCGAAGGCGGCUACCUGGACAGAGUCUGACGCUGAGACGCGAAAGCGUGGGGAGCGAACAGG